RNAcentral lists this long non-coding RNA (3082 nucleotides) under Coffea arabica (coffee). RNAcentral describes it as "long non-coding RNA (CARA_LNC008219)". The record is from RNAcentral. Lineage: Eukaryota; Viridiplantae; Streptophyta; Magnoliopsida; Gentianales; Rubiaceae.
UCCAGAACAUUCAAACCAGAAAAUUUUCAUAUACAGAGCAAUGAGUUGUUGCACCAUCAAUAAGCUAGACCAUACUGAUGCUAGAUUUUCACUGCUAGUAUUCCAUCCUCGCUGAAUUUUGAUAUACAGAGCAAUGAGUUGUUGCACCAUCAAUAAGAUAAACCACGCCGAUCCUAGAAUUUUGUGGCUAGAUUUCCACUGCUAGUAUUCCAUCCUUCUUGAACUUGAACUGAAUACUGCAUGUGCCAAAGAAUGUCUUCUAUUGAUGGACGCGAGCUUGAUUCUUUGUUUAAACAACUUAUGGUGAUCUGAGCUACUGUUUUUAGUGAUUCAUAUGCAAAUGUUCCUCUAAUGGAGAGGUCAGUCAAAUCUUUGAGUUUCGAUGGCGAUUCUGCUAAGCAAAUUUCCAACUGUUCAUUGGAAAAAGUACAUUUUAGCUUUGAUUAGUUGAAUCAUCAAAAGCAGCACGAGGCAAGUAAAGAUUUUCAUUUAUCAAUUAUAAGAAAACUGUUGCUGGUUACCUGAAGUUUUAGGUCAUCUAUAUCGCUUGGAGAAAUGAUUGGUCGACCAGUAAUAACUUCAAGCAAUAUAACUCCCAGCUGAUAAAUGUCGUCUUUGUCCGUGUUUUGCUGCUAGAUAAGGGCUAUCUUGUCCAUUCAGAGGGCUUUCGGAACCCACCUGUGAAGUUGCAGCAACACAUGAUAUUAGGGAUGUGCUACAUUUGAGACUUGUUGACUUAGUGAGAUGUCCUAAAUGAGCGUUGCUUGAAUAGAUUUACCUUUGAUGGCAAGGACAAGUUAUAGCUGCUUAUUUUUGCAGAUAGGCUCUCAUCCAGCAAUAUGUUUUCAAUCUUUAGAUCAUUCCCAAUAACACCAGAGGUGUGUAGGUACUGAAUUCCCUUUGCAAUACUCAUCAUAAUCGAGAUUCUUUGUGGCCAUUUAAGAACUUCCCUCUUUCUCCAGUCUGCCAAUUUGUCAAUACAUAAUAUCUCAUUGCCUUUCAAGGAAUAGGAGCUGAAUCUUAAAGAUGGAGAAUGAUAGAAAUCUAGUCUAUGUUUACCAGUUAAGUGAUCCCUUAGUGAGCCAUUAGCCACAUUUUCGAGCACGAUGAGACCUUGCUUGGUGUGUUGGGAUGGUCCUGGUAUGUGACAAUACAGUGUCCAAGAACACUAACUAGAUGCCUGUGUCUGAGUCUUGAAAUAACUUCCAUGUGCUGCUGCAGGCUUUGAGGAGAGUACUUCUGCUUUAGCUUCAAACAUCUUACCAGGACAGCUGAGCCAUCUCUCAGCCAACCUCUGUAGAUCUAUAACAAAAAUGAUAAAACUAGGUUUUAGUUCCUAAACAGUUUUCAGGUUAAAUCUACAACUAUAACCAAGUAAUGUCAGCUUCAAAAACGCUGAUUUCACUCUUUACCUGAGCCUGAGAGACUUCGGCAACCAGGUUGGCAGCGUCAAAGUUAUCUGUCGCAUCUUCAAUCUCCUCCAAUGUGAAAACAUGAUACGGUGGAAGAUUUAAUGAUACUAUUCUCAUUGUGCGUGGCACAUGCCCUGCACCACAAUUGUUUCAAUGUCACAUCACAAGAACAAACGCAUCUAAUGAUCUUUGGAGUAAUAUUAUCAGAUUUGUCUGUUUAAUUAUUGCAGGUAGGAAAGUGGAUGCUACAACUUACUUCCAUGAACAACCGGAGAGGUAUGAGCAGCAUUCUUGUCAAAAACAAAGCUCUCGCAUUUGUAUUCUUUGGCUCUAUUCCGCUCCAAUCUCCUGUACACGACCAGGACCAAAACGCCAAGUACAGCAAUGAUUGCAACAACAGCCACAAUGACACCUAGUACAAGGCCAAGCUUGACAGUGGUUCGCUCUUUUUGUUUUCUAGUAGGAGGCUGAACUGCUAGAGCUUCUUUAUGGCAGAAUGAGGAUGGCCGUUGAUACUUGGAACUUGUAUUUUUUGACAGCAAUUAAAUGAAUCAAUGACUUUCCUUUUUGGAAUUUGAUGCAAGGCAAGAAGGUAACAUUCCUAUUAAAAGGUUAUUUGACACAUCAACGAAGGUAGGUUCUCGUGGCAGGAUACACUUGCUCGAAGUUCACCACUUAGCUGAUUUUUGGCAAGAUUUAUGGAUUCAAUUGAUGGCAAAGAAAACAGAAUGAAGGAAUUGGUCCUUGAAGUUUAUUAGAUGAGAUAUCAAGUAUUUGAAGACGAUUAAACUUAAUGAAAUCUGGAGGAAUUUGGAUCUCAAAGCCAUGCUCCUAAGAUUGAUACGUACCAGGUUGUUGCCUAAAGAAGGAAACUUAGGUCCAAGAGGAUUGUUACUGAUAUCUAGCUCUUCAAGCUGUGAUAGGCCUUUCAGAUCUGGAAUACUUCCAUUUAACAGAUUAUCAGCCAAAACAAGACUUUUCAGGUUCUUGAAAGUGGCAAUCUCUGGGGGAUGCCACCCUGAAUGAAGUUGGAACUAAUGUUUAGCACCUCAGAGAAUCAAGCCUAUCAACCUUGGCAGGUAAUGGUCCCCAUAUUCCCAGGGAUACUAAUGACAGCCUUUUCAGAUUGGAAAGCUUAGUUAUGACUGUAAAGAAUGAAUCAAUUGAAAAUCCCUGGGACAGAGUUCUGUGAGGUAUGGAAAAGUUUGCAGCAGAUGGUUUUGGAACCUUUGAAGGGCUGCUUUUAUUUCCAACAAUAGUUAACUCAGUAAUGUGAUUACCUGAGCACAAGAUGACUAAAGAAGGUGACUGAGGGAGAGAACAAAAGUUUGUCCAGUUAUUCCAUCCUUUAAGAACGUCUGGAUAUUCAAGAAAUUGUUGAACUCGGUAAAGGAUUCUUGUUUCUGCAGGAACUAGCUGUGCACUAGGAGCAUGAACAAGCAGGAGUAGGAACAAAGACAGCAAGAAACUGUACCCAAUACGAAAAACCUCCAUUUCUUGGGAAAUGAAGUGCUAAUCAACCCACUGCAAAACCUCAAAUUUCUUCCACAGUAAUAUGCCAACAAGAAUUUAGCUAAAUCCUAGUUUACAUGUAGCACUCUGAGGUGGAACUGCAAGCAGAGCAGUUAAAGAAAGCAAAAGCAUGAGAUCCUAGUUUACAUGUAGUAUAU